UGCAAGUCGAGCGGUAGAGAGAAGCUUGCUUCUCUUGAGAGCGGCGGACGGGUGAGUAAUGCCUAGGAAUCUGCCUGGUAGUGGGGGAUAACGCUCGGAAACGGACGCUAAUACCGCAUACGUCCUACGGGAGAAAGCAGGGGACCUUCGGGCCUUGCGCUAUCAGAUGAGCCUAGGUCGGAUUAGCUAGUUGGUGGGGUAAUGGCUCACCAAGGCGACGAUCCGUAACUGGUCUGAGAGGAUGAUCAGUCACACUGGAACUGAGACACGGUCCAGACUCCUACGGGAGGCAGCAGUGGGGAAUAUUGGACAAUGGGCGAAAGCCUGAUCCAGCCAUGCCGCGUGUGUGAAGAAGGUCUUCGGAUUGUAAAGCACUUUAAGUUGGGAGGAAGGGCAGUAACCUAAUACGUUGCUGUCUUGACGUUACCGACAGAAUAAGCACCGGCUAACUCUGUGCCAGCAGCCGCGGUAAUACAGAGGGUGCAAGCGUUAAUCGGAAUUACUGGGCGUAAAGCGCGCGUAGGUGGUUUGUUAAGUUGGAUGUGAAAUCCCCGGGCUCAACCUGGGAACUGCAUUCAAAACUGACAAGCUAGAGUAUGGUAGAGGGUGGUGGAAUUUCCUGUGUAGCGGUGAAAUGCGUAGAUAUAGGAAGGAACACCAGUGGCGAAGGCGACCACCUGGACUGAUACUGACACUGA
RNAcentral lists this ribosomal RNA (698 nucleotides) under Pseudomonas sp. SE-1-15. RNAcentral describes it as "bacterial SSU rRNA". It matches the Rfam family "Bacterial small subunit ribosomal RNA", at positions 56 to 749 of the family's 1533-position model. The record is from RNAcentral. Lineage: Bacteria; Pseudomonadati; Pseudomonadota; Gammaproteobacteria; Pseudomonadales; Pseudomonadaceae.